GAAGUCCCUGGCGGCCUCCCAAACCCAACCCACUAAGCCAUCACCCCAAACCCUGCACCUGCCCUGCCUCCUCCGCUGAUCUGCCCCCACUCAGUCCCGGCCGUGCUGGGACGAGUGGGCUCAAGCUGCCCACAGGAAGGCCUAGCUGCCCACAGGGGCCCCUCUGCAGCAGCCCCCCUGCAGCCCUCCACGCACCUCCUCGGGGCCAUGGGUGCACCCCCCCCACCAGGAGACCGAGCAGGGGGAGAGAUCAGCCCCAGUGCUGUAUGAGCCCUUCUGGCUCCCUGCUCUGCUCAGGCUCCUUCGGCCAAAUCCAUGUGUUUGCUGGUACGCGGUGCCCACGGACUCAGAGACAUCGGCGAUUUGAAAUGGAGUCACUCAGCCCUUUGCAUCGACGAGGUGACAGAAGGGACAAAGGAAGUUCCCACACUUCACUUUGCAUAAUGUGGUGUCUUGUUUUUUCUGUGGGACGUGCAUACAGCUGCUCUGCCUCUUCGGGACCCACAUACCUGACUCAUGUACAUUUGUCUCCUGUUGCUUUUAUCCCGUUCUGUUUUAGCUGACUUGUUCGCAGUGCUAAAUACAAGUGUUACUUUACUCCUGUUUGAUAUCAUCUUUAAAGAGUCAAAUUUUCAUUCAUUCUUCUUGGUGGAAAACAUCAGCCCAAAGUGGAAGCUGAACCAUAAAACGUUUCCCUUUUCACACCAUGGGUUCUCUUGCUGCAGCUGUGGCAGAACAGCCUGAAAGAACAUAUGCCACGUGCCCUGGGGCUGCAGCUGGGCAGGGCGACACAGGUGUGGGCCCAGAUCAAAGCUUCCUGCCCUCAAAGCGUCCCAGUGUCUUUUGAACACCUCUGUUUGCGAUGAGCCGGUUACAGCUGAUUUCAACUACACCCCCGCCGAGGAACGCGAGGGACGCCGAAAUGGUCAGUGUUGGCCUGACGACUGCUCUCAGAGGGAGAACCCGGGAGCGACACAUCCUCACCACCCGGUCCCAUGGCCCAGAGCUUUUAUUCAUACACGAAGCCGAGCUGGUGUGAACAGCGGUGGCGAGCAGCCCUGGGGUCUCCUGAUCUCUCGGCUGGAGUUAGACCUUCCCCCCAACAACGGCACUGUGGCUCCCAGCUCUGGGCCACGCUUCUGCCUUCCCAGAGGCCGACUGCCUCCCGCAGCCACGAGCCAGACGUCCCUCACCCCCAGCCUUCUGCAGCCUGGGAAGAAGUCUUGAGGGUCAAACUGAGCAGUCACCGCUGUUGAUGCAUGCUGCCGAGUGGCAGCUGCAGUAGCAGACAAGGUAAGAUUCCCGUGAAAGUCCCCCGGGCUCCGCGGUCAGCAAUAACCUCACAAUGAGACAGACAAGGUGGCGGCUGGGCGCAGAGGCCACACACCUGGAAGGCCUCGUAGUCACCAAAGGGCCCCUGGAAGGGUAUCCACCUCCCCGGGCGGGGGUGCGUGGAGACCAGCCAGCCUGGAGCCCAUUUCACAGGUACGUCCCGUCCACCAGAGUCCAGGGGAAUCUACCUGGGCUUUAGCUCAGGACACGUCAAGGAACAGCUAUGGGAAA
This 1563-nucleotide long non-coding RNA is filed under the name Sus scrofa (pig). Its description in RNAcentral is "lncRNA (ENSSSCG00070027355.1)". The record is from RNAcentral. Lineage: Eukaryota; Metazoa; Chordata; Mammalia; Artiodactyla; Suidae.